GUUGGCGGCGUGCCUAAUACAUGCAAGUCGAGCGGACCACUUCGGUGGUCAGCGGCGGACGGNUGAGUAACACGUGGGCAACCUGCCUGUAAGACGGGGAUAACACCGGGAAACCGGUGCUAAUACCGGAUAAUCCUUUUCUUCACAUGAAGGAAAGCUGAAAGACGGUUUCGGCUGUCACUUACAGAUGGGCCCGCGGCGCAUUAACUAGUUGGUGAGGUAACGGCUCACCAAGGCGACGAUGCGUANCCGACCUGAGAGGGUGAUCGGCCACACUGGGACUGAGACACGGCCCAGACUCCUACGGGAGGCAGCAGUAGGGAAUCUUCCGCAAUGGACGAAAGUCUGACGGAGCAACGCCGCGUGAGCGAUGAAGGCCUUCGGGUCGUAAAGCUCUGUUGUCAGGGAAGAACAAGUACCGGAGUAACUGCCGGUACCUUGACGGUACCUGACCAGAAAGCCACGGNUAACUACGUGCCAGCAGCCGGGUAAUACGUAGGUGGCAAGCGUUGUCCGGAAUUAUUGGGCGUAAAACGCGCGCAGGCGGUCCUUUAAGUCUGAUGUGAAAGCCCACGGCUAAACCGUGGAGGGUCAUUGGAAACUGGGGGACUUGAGUGCAGAANAAGAAAAGUGGAAUUNCACGUGUAGCGGNGAAAUGCGUAGAGAUGUGNNNGAACACCNGUGGCGAAGGCNACUUUNUGGUCUGNAACUGACGCUUAAGCGCGAAAGCGUGGNGAGCAAACANGAUUAGAUNCCCUGGUACNCCACGCCNUAGACAAUGAGUGCUAACUGUUAGAGGGUUUCCGCCCUUUAANGCUGCNGCUAACGCAUUAAGCACUNCGCCUGGGGAGUACGGGACGCNANGNUGAUAACUCAAAGGAANUUCACUGUGGCCCGGCACAAGCANNGGUGAGCAUGUGGUUUAAUUAAAAGCACCGCGAAGAACCUUACCAAGUCUUGACAUCUCUCUGACAACCCUAGAGAUAGGGCGUUUCCCNUUCGGGGGACAGAAUGACAAGUGGUGCAUGGUUGUCGCCAGCUCGUGUCGUGAGAUGUUUGGGUAAAGUCCCGCAACGAGCCCAACCCUUGACCUUAGUUGCCAGCANUUAAAUUGGGCACUCUAAGGUGACUGCCGGUNACAANCCGGAGGAAGGUGGGGAUUUCGUCAAAUCAUCAUGCCCNUUUAUGUCNUGGGCUACGNCACGUNCUACAAUGGAUGGUACAAAGGNCAGGAAGCCGNGAGGUGAAUCCAAUCCCAUAAAACCAUUCUCAGUUCGGAUUGCAGGCUGCAANUCGCCUGCAUGAAGCCGGAAUCGCUAGUAAUCGCGGAUCAGCAUNCNGCGGUGAAUACGUUNCCGGGCNUUGUACACACCGCCCGUCACNCCACGAGAGUUUGUAACACCCGAAGUCGGUGGGGUAACCGUAAGGAGCCAGCCGCCUAAGGUGGGACAGAUGAUUGGGGUGAAGUCGUAACAAGGUAGCC
This 1483-nucleotide ribosomal RNA is filed under the name Bacillus sp. I17. RNAcentral's name for it is "partial 16S ribosomal RNA". It matches the Rfam family "Bacterial small subunit ribosomal RNA". Lineage: Bacteria; Bacillati; Bacillota; Bacilli; Caryophanales; Bacillaceae. The record is from RNAcentral.